This 505-nucleotide long non-coding RNA is filed under the name Lactuca sativa (garden lettuce). Its description in RNAcentral is "long non-coding RNA (LSAT_LNC007958)". Lineage: Eukaryota; Viridiplantae; Streptophyta; Magnoliopsida; Asterales; Asteraceae. The record is from RNAcentral.
GGAUAGACACUGACACAUUAUCAGCUUCAGGAGAAUCUUCAGCUUCAAGGGAGUCAUCAACAUCUAAUGAGUUAUCUGCUGAUGUGGCUGCAGUAUCUUGACUCAAGGGACAUGGAACUGGAAUAAUAGGAUCAGUAGAAUCGGGCUUCUCCUCAGCACAAGGUGAUUCAUCGAAUGGACAAGAGAGAAGCUCUUGAAAGAUAGAAGGAGAAUGAGUAACUUUUUCAUCAGUGUAUGAUUCCUCAUCAAACUUCACAUGAAUGGAUUCUUCAACACAUUGCCUGUUCACAUGAAAAACACGAAAAGCCUUUGAAAUAGAUGAGUACCCAACAAAAAUACCUUUAUNAGUGUAUGAUUCCUCAUCAAACUUCACAUGAAUGGAUUCUUCAACACAUUGCCUGUUCACAUGAAAAACACGAAAAGCCUUUGAAAUAGAUGAGUACCCAACAAAAAUGCCUUUAUCAGCUUUAGGUUCAAACUUGGAUCUUGGGUCACGCUGAUUUAG